UCUGACCCAUCUCACUGUUGAUAAAUGAAAACCAAAACAUUGAAACUGUUGGCAAGCUUAAAGUGAUUUCCACUGCAAUUUCAGAAGAAUGCCAAUAAUAUACACUUUACAAUAGUGAUUCUCAACGUAAGCAAUCUCAACACGGAUUGAUUUACAACUUAAAUUUCUUAAAACACAUCGAGCAUAAUUUGCUCUUAAAUCAUCAAAACAAAAAGGAUCGUGUGCCCUGAAACUCCAUCAUUGGCCAUUAAACUCGGACUAAUUGGGCUCUCUAUAUAUACACACACAACUUCAAUCAUCAACAUAAAACAAGAAAAACGACAUGGAUUACAAUCAUCAAAGAAAGAAAUGAAAAAUGGAACCUUUUUCAUUCAAUUUUUUGUUAUGCUGAGAGUUUUU
This 399-nucleotide long non-coding RNA is filed under the name Citrus maxima (pomelo). RNAcentral describes it as "long non-coding RNA (CMAX_LNC000865)". Lineage: Eukaryota; Viridiplantae; Streptophyta; Magnoliopsida; Sapindales; Rutaceae. The record is from RNAcentral.